UAAUUAGUUAGAUCCAAUUUUAGUUUCAAAAUUAGGUUAUAUUUAAAUCGAGAUUUAAUUAAGAAUGAUUGAUAUUCGGUUUUGAGUGAAAUUCAAUUUAGGAAUCAUGUGAAAGAAACAAGGACUUGGUUUAUUUGGUGGACAAAGAUUAUGUUUAUGUGGUGAAUAAUAUGAGAAGAAAGAAAAAUAAAAAGGGAGGAAGAAAAGGAAAAUAAAAAAAUAAAAAGUAUAAGGACUGGUUUUAAUAAAUGGAAAACACAGAAAAACUACGUUUAAAAAAAUAGAGAUAGGAGGAAAAGAUAGAGGGAAGG
Molecule: long non-coding RNA, 311 nt
Filed under: Gossypium raimondii (Peruvian cotton)
Lineage: Eukaryota; Viridiplantae; Streptophyta; Magnoliopsida; Malvales; Malvaceae
Description: long non-coding RNA (GRAI_LNC009849)
Source: RNAcentral